GCACCCGCGGUAAUUCCAGCACCGAUAGCGUAUAUUAAUGCUGCUGCUGUUAAAAAGCUCGUAGUUGGAUCAAGAGUUGGACAGUGCACGGUGGCCCCGUUUUGUAGUGAGGCUCCGGCCGAUCUGCUGGCGGCGGAUCAACCCCGUGCGCCAAACUGUCCACUCUAACAGACCGAAGCGGUUCCCUGUGAGUAGGCUCCUUAAUUGGGGCUGCAAGCGCUUACGCAUCAACCAUAUGCAUACGGGACGUCGGUCAAAGUUACUGUGAACAAACCAGCGUGUCCAAAACAGGCUUUCGCCUGAAUGUUCGAGCAUGGAAUAACAAGGGAUCGAUUCUCUCGGUUCUUUUUGUUGGUUUUUAACCGAGAAUGAGUAAUUCAGUCCACGGUGUCUGAGUUGGGUUUCCCUUCACCUCGGUGGAGGCCCCAAUUAGGCCGUAUGCUUACGGGAUCAAUAGGGACUGACGGGGUCGUACGUACUUCCACGUCAGAGGUGAAAUUCUUAGAUCGUGGGAAGACGAACUUCUGCGAAAGCAUUCAACAAGAAUUUCUUCAUUAAUCAAGAACGAGAGUGUGGGGAUCGAAGAUGAUCAGAUACCGUCGUAGUCCACUACUGUAAACAAUGCCGUCUCAGGAUUGAGAAGUGAACAGAAUGACUUUCACAGCACUAACCCCUGAAACGAGAAAUCAAAGAUUAUGGAUUCAGGGGGCAGUACAUUCGCAAGGCUGAAACUUAAAGGAAUUGACGGAAUGACACCACAAGGCGUGGAGUAUGCGGCUUAAUUCGAUUCAACACGGGGAAUUUUACUAGGUCAGGACAAUGUAAGGAUUGACAGAUUGAGAGCUCUUUCUCGAUCCAUUGUGUGGUGGUGCAUGGCCGCUCCUGGUUGGUGGAGUGAUUUGUCUGGUUGAUUCCGUUAACGAACGAGAUCUCGACCCUUAAAUAGGUGCCCAUGUCGAUUGUAGUUUCGCCCCCGCUGGCUUGCCGGAUUGGAGCGGGACGAGACUGUGGGAAUACUUCUUAAGGGGACUGUGUGCGUCUAUAGCACGCGGAAGAGCGAGCCAAUAGCAGGUCUGUGAUGCUCCUAAAUGUCCUAGGCCGCACGCGCACUACACUGAUGCAAUAAACGAGUCUGAGUGCCUUCUGGCAACCUACCUGGAAGCGGGUGGGAAAUCUUUUGAACUUGCAUCGUGAUGAG
Molecule: ribosomal RNA, 1198 nt
Filed under: uncultured marine diplonemid
Lineage: Eukaryota; Euglenozoa; Diplonemea
Description: bacterial SSU rRNA
Rfam family: Eukaryotic small subunit ribosomal RNA
Source: RNAcentral